This 403-nucleotide ribosomal RNA is filed under the name bacterium. RNAcentral's name for it is "partial 16S ribosomal RNA". It matches the Rfam family "Bacterial small subunit ribosomal RNA", at positions 355 to 776 of the family's 1533-position model. The record is from RNAcentral.
UGGGGAAUAUUGCACAAUGGAGGGAACUCUGAUGCAGCGACGCCGCGUGAACGAAGAAGGCUUUCGAGUCGUAAAGUUCUUUUAUAUGGGAAGAUAAUGACGGUACCAUAAGAAGAAGCCCCGGCUAACUACGUGCAAGCAGCCGCGGUAAUACGUAGGGGGCUAGCGUUUUCCGGAAUCACUGGGCGUAAAGGGUUGGCAGGCGGAAAUGCAAGUCAGGUGUAAAAGGCAGUAGCUUAACUACUGUAAGCAUUUGAAACUGCAUAUCUUGAGAAGAGUAGAGGUAAGUGGAAUUUUUAGUGUAGCGGUGAAAUGCGUAGAUAUUAAAAAGAAUACCGGUGGCGAAGGCGACUUACUGGGCUCAUUCUGACGCUGAGGAACGAAAGCGUGGGUAGCAAACAGG